UGGGGCAUUAGCUCAUCUGGCUAGAGCGCGACACUGGCAGUGUCGAGGUGAUCGGUUCAAGUCCGAUAUGCUCCACUAC
This 79-nucleotide transfer RNA is filed under the name Porphyromonas uenonis 60-3. Its description in RNAcentral is "tRNA-Ala". It matches the Rfam family "tRNA". From Rfam's summary of the family: Transfer RNA (tRNA) molecules are approximately 80 nucleotides in length. Lineage: Bacteria; Pseudomonadati; Bacteroidota; Bacteroidia; Bacteroidales; Porphyromonadaceae. The record is from RNAcentral.